Molecule: small nucleolar RNA, 138 nt
Filed under: Ornithorhynchus anatinus (platypus)
Lineage: Eukaryota; Metazoa; Chordata; Mammalia; Monotremata; Ornithorhynchidae
Source: RNAcentral
CCCCUCUCAGGGUUGCACCUGGAGAGUUUCCAGUACUCUACCAGUCUCGGCUACAAGAGGGAAAGUCAAGCAGAGGCCUAACUAUUCCAUUGCUAGCUUGGGCAGUGGCUAGCGAAUGGAAAGCCAUCUGCUACAAGU